GCUGGGCAUGGGGUUGCAUUCUUGUAAUCCUAGCUACUGGGAGACUGAGGCAGAAGGAUUGCAAGUUUGAGGCCAGCCUGGGCAACUUAGCCAGAUCCUGUCUCAA
This 106-nucleotide small RNA is filed under the name Marmota monax (woodchuck). Lineage: Eukaryota; Metazoa; Chordata; Mammalia; Rodentia; Sciuridae. The record is from RNAcentral.